Cordylochernes scorpioides is the source of this 7405-nucleotide non-coding RNA. NCBI's taxonomy places the organism in Eukaryota, Metazoa, Arthropoda, Arachnida, Pseudoscorpiones, Chernetidae. The record is from the annotation of a GenBank genome assembly.
UGGGUUUCACCUCGCUUCCACAAAAACAACUUCACCACAAGUACUAAGUACAGAUCUAACUUCCUCUUAUCAUAUUGGAAAUGCAGAGGAAAGUCAGGAACCAGGAACACAAUCCGAAAACCUUGAGGACUCGGAAACCGAGGAUUACAUUCAACCCGGUACAAGCACAGGAACACAAGUGGUCACACAAAGAAGAUCCACGAGACCAACAAAGGGAAUACCUCCCAUAAGAAAUGACUACAUGCUGUACAAAACUGAAGCUCAAGACAUUCAGGCACCAAUUGUGAAGCAUUCUACAAUUAGAGCCUUCCUAGCCGCAUCAGUCUACAAAGGGAUGCAAGUGAUCCACCUCGAUGUCAAGACAGCGUUCCUACACGGCGACCUAGAUAAAGAACUCUACAUGGAACUCCCAGAAGGACUCCAUACAAAACAAACAAACGAAGUCUGCAAACUAAAAAAGGCUAUUUACGGUCUAAAACAAGCUGGAAGAUCUUGGAACACAAAAGUUGCAAGCACUCUAAUUAAAAAUAACUUCAAACAGAGCAUUGUAGACCCAUGCCUAUUCACCAAGAAUGAAGAAAACCAUUCCAUCUACUUGAUUCUAUAUGUGGAUGACAUGCUGCUUGCAAGCGAUUCCGAAAUAAUCAUCCAAAACACUGUAAAAACCCUCGAAAAAGAAUUCGAAAUAAAGAACCUUGGAGACCCCACUCAAUUCAUUGGUAUAGAAAUCUCAAGGAACAGAGAAGGUGAACUCCUUCUGAGCCAAAAGAAUAAAAUCCAAGAAUUAGUUGAAAGGUACAAUCUCCAAGAAGCGAAACCUACUUUCACUCCCAUGGAAAGCGGAUACCCCGGUAUAUCUGAUGAAAAACUUCUACCAAACAACGUCCAAUACCAACAACUGAUAGGCUUACUAUUGUACCUAAGCGUAGUAUCCAGACCAGAUAUCGCAGCUCCAGUCUGCAUACUCAGCAGCAGAAACCAGAAUCCUAGAAAUUGUGACUGGAAUGCAGCAAAAAGAAUCGUAAGAUAUCUAAAAACUACUAAAGAACUCGAGCUACGCAUAUCUAACCAAAAACCUCCCACGCUGGAAGCAUACAGUGAUGCCACAUGGGCAAGCGACAACACCGACAGAAAAUCACUAAGCGGAAACUUGUUCCUACUGGGUUCAAACCCCAUCUCAUGGAUGACUGGGAAACAAGGUUGCGUAUCUCUCUCAUCCACCGAAGCGGAACUUAUCUCCGCAGCUGAAGCCUCACAAGAACUGUUAUGGCUUCUCGACUUGCUAAAGGAUCUCGAACUGGAACAGAAAGCUCCAAUCUACUUCCACCAAGACAAUCAAUCAUGUCUCAAGAUAUGUUCAUCCGAAAAAGUGUCUUCUAGAACCAAGCACAUCGCAACCAAGAUCCAUCACCUGAAGGAUCUUCAGAAGAAGACAGUGAUAAAAAUGGUCUACUGCCCAACUGGCGACAUGAAGGCGGACAUUCUGACCAAGCCGCUACCAAGGCCGACAUUUGAGAAGUUACGCUACAACCUCGUGAUGUCUCCACAUUCAUGCCGGGGAUUUGUUGGAUAACUGAAUGCUACGACAGCUAGCGCCACACUGGACCUAUCAUCAUCACAACUGUUUUGUUUACCUUCUUCUCUAUAUAUUACAAUAACUGUUCGCUACCAUAACUUUGUCUUUUCUUGCUAAAUGGAUAAUAAAGAUUAUUAUCAUAUAAUCCUCAACGUCCUCAUGCCUUCCUACAAGCUGUAAGUACUUAAAUCUUACAACAUAGCUUCUGCCAUUGUGUGAGCAAUUAGGUUUAUAUGAGUAAAAUAAAAGCGGCGGGGGACGAGCAUCGUGAAUUUCGAUAUCAAUGUGAUUAAUUAUUAAACAACGAAUUAGUGAGCUUUUUUAAAAAAAAUAUUUACUCAAUUUUCAACCUUUCCCUCAAUACUUGAACGUACCCCCGUCGCCUUUAUUUUACUCAUAUAAAUUUAAUUGCUCAAUGGCAGUUGAUAAAAUAUUCAUUUUUCCCUCUUUAGUGCAUUUUAAUACAAUAUUUUUUAAAACGGCAUAUUUUCAAUUAUUAUUAUUUAUCAAAAUUCGAAAUUAUUUUAAAGGAGUAAGAUUCUUUUUGAAAAUAAACAAUUUCUCUACUGCUCUUACUGCAAUGGAAAAAUUAAUGGGAGGGCCUGGCUCAUCAGUGGUGAACCCUCCCAGCGGUUUCGCCAGUUUAAUCUACCAUACCGCUGUUAUAUUGCAUUUUUGGUGUUGAAUUAUCUCCCUCCGCUGUAAGCUUUUGGAACAAGCUUUUUCGGAGAACAAACACCGGACAACACAAGGCAAACGGGCCGCAGCAUCUGGAAGUGCGCGCCGUUUGUGAGGGAACCAAGGCAGCACCAAGCACACCUAAGGCUCCGCAGGCUUCAAAAAUAAGGGAUCAUUAGAGAUCAAGAUCAGGAGAUCAAGACCCAGAGAUCAAAAGGUCUGGCUUUUAUCAUUAGCGAGCCCCGUUGGGACUAUAUUGCAUUUUGGGUAACAAUAUUGUUCCGCCUUCUACAUGCUAUCAGGUAAGCAUUCUAAGGCUCUAUUGCAUUUUGGGAACUUCCUUUUAUAGUGAUACUGUUGUUAGACUCUUGGAACGGGUAUUUUAGAAGAACUAUGGACAUAAGCUUUGAGGACAGUAGAGUUACAUACAUUUAUAAAUAUUAGAUAAUAAAAGGCAUAUAUUGGAUUUGAAAAAAUAUUUAUUUUGCCAAUAUUUCGGCUGGCUGAACGCCAACCUUUAUCGAGGCAUUACAUUUUUGUAUACACAAACUCAGCGCCGCAUAGUGUUAUAAUAUCACAGUUGAAAUCAAUUAAAAUAUUUUAAUAGAUACAUACAUUUUUUACAUUUAUCUCUUUAUGAGUUAUUAAUGAAUUAUUUUUAUGUACUUAUUGUUGAAUAUAUGAAUUCAAUUUUAGACUUUAAUAUUUUAUAUAAUAUUGUCACUGAAUAAUUAUUUUAAAUAUUCUGUGGUAUAUCAUCAUUAUAAUAUUUCCAUAGUUAUCACUCCUCACGAUUCUUAUAUAUUAUUACUUGAAUAUAAAUGGUAAGAUAUAGUUUUGCAUAAAUAAACUAUUUUCAAUUACUAAAAUCGUAUGUAUUAAUUUAUAAAAUAAUAUAAAACCCUAAAACCUUUCUAACAGUGGUAGCAGAGCGUGGUUAAAACUUAAAAUCUAAAAUCGUAAAAAUAAAAAUGGCUGCUGUUAUGGAAGAUAUUUCGAUUAUAGAUAAAUUAAAAGACUCUGAAAAUUUUGAUAUUUGGAAAUUUCAAAUUAACAUUAUUUUUAAAGCUAAUAAUUUAAUUGAAACAAUAAAUGGCAAAUUGUGUUUUAAAGAUCAAAAGGAUGAAAAAGAAAAAAACGCAUGGAUAAUAAAAGAUGCUAAAGUCCAAAAAUAUAUUAUUUCGAGCAUCGAUAAAACGAUAUUAACACACAUAAUACACUGUGAAAAUGCCAAAUCAAUGUAUGACACCAUAUGCAGAAUAUUUGAAAGAGAUGAUGAACAAUUAAAAUGUAAGCUGCUAAAAGAAUUUCACACUUAUAAAUUUGAUAAAAAUGUAGACCUUGUAGCCAACAUAAGUAAUUUAAGAAAUUUGGCUUUUAAACUCAAUAAUCUAAAACAGAACUUUGAUGACAAUAUUGUUAUUUCAAAGAUUUUAACAAUUUUGCCAGAAGAAUAUAAUUAUUUUUGUACUGCUUGGGAGUCAACUGGAAAAGAUGAAAAAACUAUUGAAAAUCUAAUAUCAAGAUUGACCACUGAAGAAAUAAGAAGAAACAGACAGAGCCAACCAGAAGACCGAGUGGCUAUGAAUGCAACAAAACAAAAGGUAUGUUUUACUUGUAAUAAACCAGGACAUAUAUCUAAAAAUUGCACCCAAAGAAAAUUCUGCAAAUUUUGUAAAAAAAACUAACCAUGAAGAAAAGAGAUGAUGAACAAUUAAAAUGUAAGCUGCUAAAAGAAUUUCACACUUAUAAAUUUGAUAAAAAUGUAGACCUUGUAGCCAACAUAAGUAAUUUAAGAAAUUUGGCUUUUAAACUCAAUAAUCUAAAACAGAACUUUGAUGACAAUAUUGUUAUUUCAAAGAUUUUAACAAUUUUGCCAGAAGAAUAUAAUUAUUUUUGUACUGCUUGGGAGUCAACUGGAAAAGAUGAAAAAACUAUUGAAAAUCUAAUAUCAAGAUUGACCACUGAAGAAAUAAGAUAAAAGAAAAACUUCAGGACAAUUGAAGGGGAGACAAUGUAACCUAAAUGAAGUAAUAUUUGUGCCUGAAUUAUCAAAAAACCUUUUGUCAGUGAGCUCAAUUGUUAACAACGGAGGAGAAGUAAAUUUUAAAGGUGAUAAAGUGACAAUUUUGAAAGAUGGAAAAAAAGUUCUAGAAGGAGAUCAACUUGAAAAUGGACUUUAUGCUGUAAAUAUUGAACAACAUUUUUCAAAGCAAAAUGACUCGAACCUUACCUUACCAAGUGAAAACAAAACCCAAGAAUGGCACAGAAAAUUGGGACACAUUGGAAUGCAGAAUCUAAGAAAACUUGAAAGUUUGGUUGAUGGUAUGGAGCUUAACAAAUUGGAAAAACAGGAAAAUGAUGUGUGCGAAAUUUGCAUCAUGGCAAAGCAAACUAGGAAGUCAUUUGGAAAUGAAAGAUCUAGAGCUACCCGACCUUUGGAAAUUGUUCAUACUGAUUUGUGCGGCCCAAUAGAACCCUUAACACAUGAUAAUAAGAAAUAUAUAAUGACAUUUUUGGAUGAUUAUACACAUUUCUGUUAUGUGUAUUUGCUCAGCAAUAAAUAUGAAGCAAAAGAAUAUAUUAAAGAAUAUGUAAAUGAAGUAGAAAGAUUUUUAAAUGCGAAAGUGUCAAAAUUAAGGUGUGAUAAUGGCGGUGAAUAUGCCAUUACGCAAGUUAAAGAAUGGUGCAAAAUGAAAGGAAUAAUACUUGAUUUUACAAUUCCAUAUACUCCACAAUUGAAUGGAAAAGCAGAAAGGUUGAAUCGAACUCUGAUUGAAAAAACCAGAGCACUUUUGCUGGAUUCCAAAUUAAAUAAGGAAAUGUGGGGAGAGGCCACAAGAGUCGCUGCCUAUUUAAUCAACAGAAGCCCUUCAAAUACAGUACAAACAACACCAGCACAGAUGUGGUUUGGAAGAAAGCCUAAUCUUUCUAAUGUAAAAUUAUUCGGGAGUGAAGUGUAUGUCAAAAAAUUGGGAAACCUAAAAAAAUUGGAUAGUAAAAGUGAAAAAUAUUCACUUAUCGGAUACAGUGGAAAUGGAUACAGAUUGUGGGACAUGCAGAAAAGAAGGAUUAUAAUUGCAAGAGAUGUGGUGUUUACAGGAAAACUAACAAAUGAAAUGACCAGUGUCAUUCAGCCAAGAUACAGAGAAGAUCUGGAUUCUGAAAUAGAGGAAAGUCAAGACACUAAAAUGGAAUUGGAUACCCAUGAUAAACCACAGAACUCGACCAAUUCAAGAUAUAUGUUAAGGAAUAGAGAAAAUAUCAAUAGACCUGAAAGACUAAAAGAUUAUGAAGUGUUGAAUUCUGUUUCUGGAGAAAUAGGAUUGUUAACAUACAAUGAAGCUGUAACCGGAGUAGACAAAGAAAACUGGGUAAAAGCAAUACAGGAAGAAAAGAUUCAUUGAAGAAAAAUGAAACUUGGGAUUUUGUAAAAGCUGAAUGUGUGAAAGAACUCAUUUAUAUAAAAGCACUUAUUGAAGAACUUACAAAUGAAACCAUACUUGCUAAACUAAAUAUUGACAACCAAAGUGCAAUGACUUUAAUGAAGACAGGACAAAUGAACAGAAAGACAAAACAUAUAGAUGUUCGAUAUCAUUUUUUGAAAGAUCAGAUAAGAGAAAAUGUUGAUGUUCAGUUUUGCCCAACCCAAGACCAAGUUGCUGAUAUCCUAACCAAGCCUCUGCCAAAGGAAACUUUUGAAAAACACAGAUCUUCACUGCUACAGAUGUUUUGAUAGAGUAAUUAAAACUCUAAAACAUGAAUUCAAGAAGGAGUGUUGAAUAUAUGAAUUCAAUUUUAGACUUUAAUAUUUUAUAUAAUAUUGUCACUGAAUAAUUAUUUUAAAUAUUCUGUGGUAUAUCAUCAUUAUAAUAUUUCCAUAGUUAUCACUCCUCACGAUUCUUAUAUAUUAUUACUUGAAUAUAAAUGGUAAGAUAUAGUUUUGCAUAAAUAAACUAUUUUCAAUUACUAAAAUCGUAUGUAUUAAUUUAUAAAAUAAUAUAAAACCCUAAAACCUUUCUAACACUUAUUACAUUUUUUUUUAAAUAUAAGAUAGAACUUUUUUUCCUUUUAUUUUUUAAGAUAUUUUACAUUUUUAGUUGCAUUUUUUAUUUUUUAUAAUAAUUUUUUCAUGCACAAUUUUCUCCCACCUACUCUGUAUUUUAAUUGAUUUCAACUGUGAUAUUAUAACACUAUGCGGCGCUGAGUUUGUGUAUACAAAAAUGUAAUGCCUCGAUAAAGGUUGGCGUUCAGCCAGCCGAAAUAUUGGCAAAAUAAAUAUUUUUUCAAAUCCAAUAUAUGCCUUUUAUUAUCUAAUGAAUUAAGUAUGGAUUGCUCUAUUUUCAAAUUUAUAAAUAUAUAAUAUGCUUCGAGCAAUCGCUCUUCCGCAAAUAUCAAAUUGUUUCUUUUAUUAGAACAUUUAUAAUAUGAUGCACUAGCGCGCCAUCUGUUAUCAAAAUUCGAAAUUAUUUUAAAGGCGUAAUAUUCUUUUUGAAAAUAAUUAUUAUUUAUAAUUGUUAGAGUCAUGAAUUCUAAAGGUACAAAUUUAUUAUAGCCAAAAUAAUUCUAAAUUUACAAAACUUCAUGAUCAAAAGUUAAAUCACACAUAUUAUUUGCAUAAUAUUUAAGAAAAAUAUUUAAAUAUAGCCAUCACUCAAUAUAUAAAAUCAGUAUAAUUUGGGUGAAUAUAUUCACACACUAUAAUAUUAGAAAAAUUACCCCCAGGUUCCUGGAGCGUUCAAAUGUUGUCAGUUAGACUUAGGACUUUUUGGUUUAUCUAUAAUCUGGCCAAAGUUCAAGAAAUUAAGUAGCGCUAAGCAGAUUUAUUUUCUAGAGAUUUUUCCAGCGAUGCCAGGCUGAGAUUGGGAAUUUCUAGAAAAAUGGCUCUCUGAAACAUUUGGUUUUGGAAAUCUAAGGAGAUGAUCGACUUUGUUUGGUUUUCAUUCAGAUCCUCUUUCAAAAUUUUUGCGUAGUAUGCUUGUACUUUGCCAUGGCCAGUUAGAAGGGUUGUUGAAGUGUACUCAUGAUUAUUUGUAGAAAGGGGAUCACAUAUUUUUGGCGUGGCUGUAAAUCUUCUGAGAUUGUUGGUUGAAUAAUCCAUAAUGAAUAGGUCUGUAGUAGAUUUUAUGUGAAUUGAGGUUUUUUUUUCGA